This 1112-nucleotide long non-coding RNA is filed under the name Olea europaea (common olive). RNAcentral's name for it is "long non-coding RNA (OEUR_LNC013394)". The record is from RNAcentral. Lineage: Eukaryota; Viridiplantae; Streptophyta; Magnoliopsida; Lamiales; Oleaceae.
UGAUGGCAAACUUUUCAUGUGAGAUGGCCAAUUCGGUCAAUCACCUCUGCGGUUUGAUUUGGCUGUUGUAACUUAACAGGUGAGGGGCAAUUCCUGUAUUGAGCAGAGCAUAAUUACUUGGGUAAUAUAAAAAAAAUUAAAAUUGAUCAGUUGAAAUAGGCCCAUUAAAUUGGGUGGCAUUUCAAAGAUUGUGUUACGUGAAACUUUAAUCAACACAAUAUUCUCAUACCUAGGACUCGUCCAUGGUGGUCGUAGAAAGACAUAAGAUCAAAUCUGAGGAUGAUUUUUGUAGUACUUUCACUUUUCAUCAUUUCACAGUCAAAUCAAGUAUCAUCGUCGCGUUUAUAGUGGCACUAGAACAUUUUCUAGGGACUCUUUAUCUCGUAGCAUCAACAAAUGUUUGACCAACAUCAUCUGAAAUAAUCUUGUUGUGGGGAUGUGGAAAGUACUGCCUGACCUAUAAUUAGGAAGUGAAACAAAAAUAACGGAGGAAAUGGACGAGGGAAGGACGGAUGUGACGGAUGUGAGAUGUUAUCUUUGAGCACGACAAUGAAAAAUAUAUACUAAGCCAAACAGAUGUAAAUUAAGUACAACAAAAAUCAAUUAGAAGCUCAAGAUCUGUGUCGAACAAAGUUAGAACAUUUUCUAGAGACUCUUUAUCUCGUAGCAUCAACGAAUGUUUGACCAACAUCAUCUGAAAUAAUCUUGUUGUGGGGAUGUGGAAAGUACUACCUGACCUAUAAUUAAGAAGUGAAACAAAAAUAACGGAGGAAAUGGACGAGGGAAGGACGGAUGUGACGGAUGUGUGAUGUUAUCUUUGAGCACGACAAUGAAAAAUAUAUACUAAGCCAAACAGAUGUAAAUUAAGUACAACAAAAAUCAAAUAGAAGCUCAAGAUCUGUGUCGAACGAAGUUUAAAUUAUUAGGCAUGAGACCAACAAUUGCAACCUAGUACGACUCAUUUUGGUUUUACUCGACUAAAAUAUCACGAGCUUUGCUCAGACAAAAUUGUGCACGUGUUUGAUUUUUGAUAAAGAUGUUUUACCAAUCAAAGGUUUAAUUAAGAGAAAAUGUCAAAGAAAUAGAAGUUAUGGACGUUUUCUGCAAAAAUA